RNAcentral lists this ribosomal RNA (520 nucleotides) under uncultured Glomus. Its description in RNAcentral is "SSU rRNA". It matches the Rfam family "Eukaryotic small subunit ribosomal RNA", at positions 569 to 1091 of the family's 1831-position model. The record is from RNAcentral. Lineage: Eukaryota; Fungi; Glomeromycota; Glomeromycetes; Glomerales; Glomeraceae.
AGCAGCCGCGGUAAUUCCAGCUCCAAUAGCGUAUAUUAAAGUUGUUGCAGUUAAAAGCUCGUAGUUGAAUUUCGGGAUCAAUACGUCGGUCGUGCUUCGGUACGUACUGGCGUCAUUGAUUUCUCCCUUCUGACGAACCAUGAUGUCAUUAACUUGGUGUCAUGGGAAAUCAGGACUGUUACUUUGAAAAAAUUAGAGUGUUUAAAGCAAGCUCGCGCUUGAAUACAUUAGCAUGGAAUAAUGAAAUAGGACGUUUGAUUCUAUUUUGUUGGUUUCUAGGAUCGACGUAAUGAUUAAUAGGGAUAGUUGGGGGCAUUAGUAUUCAAUUGUCAGAGGUGAAAUUCUUGGAUUUAUUGAAGACUAACUACUGCGAAAGCAUUUGCCAAGGAUGUUUUCAUUAAUCAAGAACGAAAGUUAGGGGAUCGAAGACGAUCAGAUACCGUCGUAGUCUUAACCAUAAACUAUGCCGACUAGGGAUCGGAUGAUGUUAAUUUUUUCAAUGACUCAUUCGGCGCCUUAC